UUAAAAAUAUGCAAAAAAGAAGAUAAAGAAAAAAAGAUAGCCUAGGAAGAGAAGAAGACACUUGUGCCAGCCUAUGGCCAGUGCCCCCUUAAUUGGCCCAAGAUGUUAGUUCCUAGGCUACAUUUGAAUAGGUCACAUGACUCUUGUCUUCUACCCUUGGCUGGCCUAGGGGUCCCAUGUUGGCACACAUGUUUGUUGCUUCAGCCUUUUUAUAAAGUUCUUGUUUAUGGAGUCCUUAUAUCCCUGGCUUGUAACCACUAUCAAGGAAUCGACUGUAACUUCCCUGUUUUCUGGAACUAUGAAAGGGCGGGGAAACAAAAAGGUAAGCAAACGUUGCAUCUAAGACAUAAAUUGUCACUUCAGUUUUAUUUCCCUUCCUCUGUGUUUUGCUUUUAAAAAAAAACUACAAGAACUACCUUGACAGUUGACAACCAAAAAUGUUCUCUCAUGAUAUCCAGUGGGUUGGCAAUAAACGGAGAAAGUGGGGGUAUCUUAGCUCAAAACAUGCUUCUUCUGAAGCUGCUUUAGAGUGUGAAAGAAAUCACCACAAAGUUGUGUUCAUUGACACAAAAAUUUCAAAAUGUUGAUUAUCAUUUUGUUAUUAAUUAUUAUUAUCAUUAUUAUUCGCGGCCACACAAGAGCGCUUUCAUGGGUUAUAUUGUGAAGUGGAAGCAUGUGGUUCAUCUCUGCACCCUCCCACUCUACAGCCCUCCUCCUCCCUCGGCCUCCUUCAUUCCCCAGAAAGCGAAACUAGUUCAUAUAAACUAUUAAGACACAGAAAAAAGUAACAUCAUAAGCAAAAUAGAACAGUGUAUUUUUUCCUUCAUCCCUUCAACGUUCUCAUUUGUUUGUUUCUAACUUGGAAAGAAAAAUGAAUAAGAAAUGUGUGAGUGUUUGUGUGUAGGUAUGUUUGUACAGCACCUUUAUACCUAGUGCCUGUGGAGGCCAGAAGAGGUGUCAGAUCCCCUGGAACUGGAGGAAUUAAGCGAGGUGGUGAGUCGACUUGAGGCUGCUGGGAACUGAACCUGGGGCCUCUGCAAAAACAAGUGCUCUUAGCUGCUGAGCCAUCUCUUUAGUCCCCUUGAGUAAACUUUUAAAGGCUAAUCAAUCUAUUAGCCAUAGACAUCUACUUAAUUAACUACUAACAACUUCAAAACCUCGGUUUAUUUGAUUUGAUAUUAUGCAUUCAUUGCCACUAUAAUUUUAAUAGUGGAUAAGUUAUGGUGCCUAUAAAUCACAGCUUGGGAGUUAUUUUCAACUUUGCUUUCAGUAUUUAUUGCUUGUCUGGGCUCAUCUAAUUGAAACUCUUUGGAGCCCAGUACUUUAGAACAGGCAUUACAAGUGGAUGUGUUGAAAACACUCCCUCCGCAACCCCCCCCUUUUUUUAAAUCUUCAAAUGAAGUAUCAGAAAAAUGGACUUAAAACAAAGUGGUUUAAAAAGGUAGUCUAGUUGUCAGCAUGAUUUAUAAUGGUAGCUGUCUAUAUUUUUAUACAAUGGAGUCUUCAUUGCCCUAGAAACAGGUAAAUUAACGUGUGGUUUAAGUCCUAACCACAACUCUCACCAGGCUCAAUUUCCCAGGCUUGUUCCAUUUUGAUUUUUUUUCUUCUUGCCGUUUUGUUUGUAGCUAUGAAACAGCAUUGGCCUUAGUACUUUUGAUGAGAAAAUGGGCUUGCAAGAGUGGGGAAGCAGCCAGUUGGUAGAAUGUUUGACUACCAGUGCCUAUCCCGUAUGAAGCCCUGGGCUCGGUCUCUAGCCCCACAUCAUCUGGGUGGUGGAUAUCUGUAACUGCAGCACUUGGAAGGUAGAGGCAGGAGGAUCAGAAGUUCAAGGUCAACCUUGGCUAUACCACAGGGUUCAGAAACCUGCUCUCAUGUGGUUUUUGAAGCAGCCAAAGGUAGGAUGUUUUCCCCUAAGGGGCUAGCACUGAGAGGAGGGCUGCUUGGUGAAGGAGGCCAUGGAUGAGGAAUGGAAGAAGGCUUCCCGGAGGAAGCAGCAUUCGAGCUGUUCCCUGAAGGGUGCAAAGAGCUGAACUGAAGAGCAAGAGAAGACCAGCUUUGCAGGUCUGCUGGGAAAACAGGAAGUGUCACCAAAGCAUAGGAGAGAAGGUGACUGGGGACAGCGAUUUUGGUGAAUGAAGUGAGUGACAUCAUGAAGAGGAACACCAUCCUGCACUAAGAAAUUCGAUGAACAUAUACUCUACAGUAUUGGAGGAGGAUUCCAACUAGAUGGUGAUUCAUGAAGCUCAAUGUGGAUUAAACUUCAAGAGAGAGCUGAA
Long non-coding RNA from Mesocricetus auratus (golden hamster), 2276 nucleotides. RefSeq lists it as uncharacterized. The transcript is spliced from 3 exons. NCBI's taxonomy places the organism in Eukaryota, Metazoa, Chordata, Mammalia, Rodentia, Cricetidae. The record is from RefSeq and is a predicted model, not a curated record.